Molecule: ribosomal RNA, 864 nt
Filed under: Pseudobutyrivibrio sp. CA34
Lineage: Bacteria; Bacillati; Bacillota; Clostridia; Lachnospirales; Lachnospiraceae
Description: bacterial SSU rRNA
Rfam family: Bacterial small subunit ribosomal RNA
Source: RNAcentral
AUGGUUCAGGAUGAACCCGGGCGGCGUCCUUAACCCAUCCAAUUCGAAGGAAGCAAUUUGUCACGAUCCUUUCGGGGUGAUGAUUUUUAGUCUUAGUGGCGGACGGGUGAGUAACGCGUGGGUAACCUACCUUGUACAGGGGGACAACAGUUGGAAACGACUGUUAAUACCGCAUAAGCGCACGGUAUCGCAUGAUACAGUGUGAAAAGUUUUUUCGGUACGAGAUGGACCCGCGUCUGAUUAGCUAGUUGGUGAGGUAACGGCCCACCAAGGCGACGAUCAGUAUCCGACCUGAGAGGGUGACCGGCCACAUUGGGCCUGAUACUCGGCCCAAACUCAUACGGGAGGCAGCAGUGGGGAAUAUUGCCCAAUGGGAGAAAGCCUGAUGCAGCGACGCCGCGUGAGCGAAGAAGUAUUUCGGUAUGUAAAGCUCUAUCAGCAGGGAAGAUAAUGACGGUACCUGACUAAGAAGCACCGGCUAAAUACGUGCCAGCAGCCGCGGUAAUACGUAUGGUGCAAGCGUUAUCCGGAUUUACUGGGUGUAAAGGGAGCGUAGGCGGUUUUACAAGUCUGAUGUGAAAGCCCGGGGCUCAACUCCGGUAUUGCAUUGGAAACUGUAGAACUAGAGUGUCGGAGGGGUAAGUGGAAUUCCUAGUGUAGCGGUGAAAUGCGUAGAUAUUAGGAGGAACACCAGUGGCGAAGGCGGCUUACUGGACGAUUACUGACGCUGAGGCUCGAAAGCGUGGGGAGCAAACAGGAUUAAAUACCCUGGUAGUCCACGCCGUAAACGAUGAAUACUAGGUGUUGGCUUCCAUAUGGAGUCAGUGCCGCAGCUAACGCAAUAAGUAUUCCACCUGGGGAGUA